UAUUAUGAGAGUUUGAUCCUGGCUCAGGACGAACGCUGGCGGCGUGCCUAAUACAUGCAAGUCGAACGCCUCUUUUC
RNAcentral lists this ribosomal RNA (77 nucleotides) under Enterococcus mundtii. Its description in RNAcentral is "partial 16S ribosomal RNA". It matches the Rfam family "Bacterial small subunit ribosomal RNA", at positions 1 to 77 of the family's 1533-position model. The record is from RNAcentral. Lineage: Bacteria; Bacillati; Bacillota; Bacilli; Lactobacillales; Enterococcaceae.